GAGAAAGCGUGAGGUACGUUCUGUGAGGAAAGAUGUUCUGAGAUAUAAAAAAGUGAGGAAAAAGCGAGAGGGACGUUCUGUGAGGAGAGACGUUCUCAGAUAUAAAAAAGUGAAGAAAAAGCGAAAGAGGGACGUUCUGAGGAGAAAAAGUCUGAAGAGAGAAAAAGUGUGAAAAGAAAAAGUCCGAGGAGAAAAAGUGAGGAGAGAAAGAAGGGGAAAAAAGCGUUCUGAAGAGAAAAAGUGAGGAGAGGAAAAGCGAAAGGAAAGAGGAAAAAGCAAAGGGCAAGAGAAGCGACCAAGAAGCGGGUUUCUGACCAGCGCCGACGAGACAAUUCGCCCUUCCGUGUGCUUCGGCAAGCAAGCGUGUGGUGCGCGUGUGGGAGUGAGCAGCGCCGCCAACAAGGGAGGCACGGGUCGGUCACCAACAACACCAUGGUCUAAACCCGCGACGGACCAACAACACUAUGGUCUAAACCCACGACGGACGAUCUCGGUGCCCUCCAUACUUUGACUGGCGCUCAAGGCUGCCCCGCGAGAGGGUGCACGGCAAAGCUGGGUGCUGGCGACGGACGUGACACGCACGCACGCAUUUUCAGGACGUUUUCGCUUCACGGACUAUUUUCUGGCCAAUGACAGCCGAGCAAUGUGGUACCAGUGGCAUCAUGGAUUGAGGGUGAACGCAAAGCAGAUAAAAGGGGAGAGCAAACCACAGAGGAGGAGAUGCUCCGGAACCUGAUGAGGGAAAGCUAUGCACAGUCUCUUGGGGUUUCUUCGUGGACAUGUGAGCUGGUUUUAGACUGUCGUGAGACAACUGCCAAGGGCCCUGCAGUUGUUACGAGUGCAUAUGUGGAGAGACAAGGUUGUCCUGAAAAGAGGAAGAAACAUCCUCCCACCGUGGACAAAAUCAACUCCACCCACCCUGAACUCGUUCGUAUUUCAUCAGUAUUUUAUCACUUUCAAUGUUCGAGUAACAAUAUUUCCCUUCAUUUAUCAUUACGUGUUAAAUUAUAAUUGUACCCAUCGCCGGAAAAUAUAACAAUUUGAAAAUUUACAUUUUGCGUCUUGUAGUAUCUGUCGCACCGCUGCAACAUUGUUUUCUAGCUACUUGACGUUUGGUGAGGUGCGGUAUUUUAUUGUGAUAAAAUUUUGUAUGCUGUUUGUGUUGACAUUAUAUCUAUAACACACCAAUGGUAAAAGUUAUGUAACCCUUCAGUGUCAAUGUAUGUUUGUUCUGUGAUUUGCAACUCCUGGUAAUAUGCGAAGUCUUCGCACAUGCACAAUAAAAAGGGGAUCUUCAAGUCGAGCCCAUAUUGGAACAUGACGUGUUGUCAGUCCGUGCAUAACGACCAUCGAUGUGCUACCCAUGGUGUCAGAAGUAAACCUGAUAUAUGAAGGCAGUUUCAUAUAAGAAGAUUUACGUGAAGUACAAAGUACGUUACUGAACGAUGGCUUUCAAACCACCGA
This 1464-nucleotide long non-coding RNA is filed under the name Eptatretus burgeri (inshore hagfish). RNAcentral describes it as "lncRNA (ENSEBUG00000017509.1)". The record is from RNAcentral. Lineage: Eukaryota; Metazoa; Chordata; Myxini; Myxiniformes; Myxinidae.